CAUCAGGUACUGAUAUUCUGUACAGUAUUUACGAGCGCGGCGAACAGCCGUGCACAGGGGAGAGUGACGCGGUGCAUCAAUCCGAAAACAACAAUCAAACAGCUUGAUCUAUAUGCGACCUCUUUCCCAGGGCGCGAGAGCGAGUGCAGCGUAUGGACGAAGCGUGUAACUGCGCUUCCGUGGCAGGUGCGAGGAUGCGCAGAGCAAUUACCUACAGCACAAUGUACUAGCGACAUGAAUUGGCUUGUCAGGGAGCGCAUCUGCAAGAAAAUUUGCAGGUGCUCUUGCCGAUCGGUUAAGAUGAAAGUUUUCGCGAAGUACGCGGGAAGCUGUAUUCAUUGAUGUUGUCGGUGCACGAAGUCAUGCAAAAUAGCGAGGUGCAGCGAACUUUCAGGAACUGUCGCGAAGUGCCAGCUCGGUGACCCCGCCUGCGCGCGGCUCGCUCGGUCCUGGGACAUCCUCCGCCUGGGACAUCCUCAACCCCCCUCCUCCCUGCCACCCCCUCCCCAAGCGUCCUACGAGACAUGACUCGGAGCCAGAUUUACAUCAGCUGGCAUGCGAGGAGGCAUGGAUGGGAGGGGUGAGCACUGAGCAGGGGGCUCGCCCCCGCCUCGUAAAACGCGUGUCGACCACGGCAAAUGCCAGCAAUGACAUCAUUCGGGUAUUCAUCGGCACCGGUAGCUGGGUGCAGGGCUAAGUUCAGGAUGUGUUGUCCUUGCAGCCGACCGCUGGAACAGGCCAAGGGGCGGGCGGCAGGGUUGCAGUGUUGCACCGUACGCUGCCAAACCCACAUAUGUCGGGAUGUUGUGUUGCGCACUGGAUGUCAAGUCAGUUCCAAGUCGUUCUCGCGCUUUGUAAUACGCAGGGAAAACGGUAUGUUUAAUGACGAUGCCUUCAAGCGCGACAAGUGUCUAGGACCAAUGUGGAAGCGUGUGCUCAUGUCCAACUCAGCACACGGGAUGGCCAUGGAUGUCCCAGCCUGUUCCUGACACAGCGUAUUUUCCCACAUCCCAUGUGCUCGGCGUCUUCGGGUGCUGGGACUGUCCCCUCUGUAACAUCCGCAUUCAUGUACUACCACUCAAGGACAGCAUACGAGCACGUGGUUCGUACUAGUACGCGCUAGAACGUACAACGCACUGUGCAACCGUGGCGGGCGGGUGCACUCAAUGUAAGGGGCGGG
This 1180-nucleotide long non-coding RNA is filed under the name Chlamydomonas reinhardtii. RNAcentral describes it as "long non-coding RNA (CREI_LNC000393)". The record is from RNAcentral. Lineage: Eukaryota; Viridiplantae; Chlorophyta; Chlorophyceae; Chlamydomonadales; Chlamydomonadaceae.